GUAUCACUUUGACUUCCAUCAUCACCAUACUAUGCCAUAAAUAGAUUAAGAAACCACAUUGUUUGGAUGACUGAAAAUAAGAAUCACUGAAGCAAGUUUGCUUUUUAGGAUUAGGAUGAAAGCCACCACUAAUUCAUGCUGAGAUAUGAUUAGAUUGUCCGUACACCAUGUAACUAACUAACAAGACCUUGAUUUCCCACCAGAAACAAUGCAUUUGGUUACCUGCUACCUUAAGGGACUUGAUUAUCACAUAAUUUGAUAUAGGUAACUUUUUACUGCUGAUGAAUUGAACAGUGCGGUAAGAAUGAUGCGGUAAGCUUUGGUUUUCAAUAAUUUUAUGCCAAUUUGCAUGUUUUACUUGGUCCAAUAUGGCAUAUUCAUCCUCAUCACUAUACAUUUAUUUUUACAUCUUCUAUUAUCUGCAAAUUUAUCCAAUUCUUGCUUGGUUAAUAUCUGUCUGUCGGUCACUCACUAAAUGAUCCAAUGAAAGGUCAGCCACACCAUGCCAUGCUGCAUGACUACUCGGUUUCUAAUUUUGAUUUCGACGUCUUGUAUUUUUCAAUCACAUUGCACAUGUCCUUUCUAUCUUCAGAAUCAUCUUCAUUUACCAUCUUUAUGGUUGCUGUCCAUCAUUGGAAAUUCAUUGAUGUGCUCAUUAUACCGGAUGUACAUUGACACAGUACAUUAUACUCUUCUCAGUUAUCUAAAUAUAAUCUCAGUGGAUUGAUGUGUGUGACUAAGACUUGAAUUAAAAGUUAGAGAGACAGAGUGUGCUGGUGAAGCCGUAUUGUUGAGUGGCUUGCAUGAAGGAACCACAGACUGCCUGGAGCCAGCCAAUAUAACAGGUAAGGGAAGUUUCUUCUGAUCUUGUCUUUUGAGUUGAUCAACCAAAGGGAAAGAACACCCUUGUUCGUAGCUGGAAUCCAUGAGAAGCACUUGCUUUUUAUUAAUUCCCCUUUGACUAAUCUUUAUCAAAUGCAUUUACGUCCUUUGUUGUUCAUCAUUUGGUGUGCCUGAGCUAGAAUCUUUCUUAAUGAACUUACUGUGUUUUCUAUUUCCUCUAUCUUCUGUCCUUUUUUUAAAACUUCUUUUUUUGACUAGGACAUAUAUUCUUUCUAAGAUCGAACUUUUUGACUAUGGUACAUGCCUGAAUCGCCAGAUGGCAUCAAGUUAGGUACUAGCUUGCCAUGAAUUUCCCAACAUUCAUAUAUUUGACUUAGUAUUAAUCGAACUUAACAGUCAUCUUUUUUAACCACUUCAGAGUAGAUAGCAAAUCAGUACACAUUUUUUUUCUCCCUUCACAUUUCAUCAUCUCUCCACUUUAGUGGUGGUCCUAUUUUUGAACUGAUUUCUAACAUAGCAUGGUCCCUAAUCUAGCUGCAUCCUAGAUCCAUUUCUGGACUGAUGAAAUCUGACACAGCUCUAAGUAUUUGACAGAUGAGUAAUGUAGGUUGUACGGGAAUUCUAGAACACUAAAAAAAA
RNAcentral lists this long non-coding RNA (1482 nucleotides) under Oryza sativa (Asian cultivated rice). RNAcentral's name for it is "long non-coding RNA (OSAT_LNC000658)". The record is from RNAcentral. Lineage: Eukaryota; Viridiplantae; Streptophyta; Magnoliopsida; Poales; Poaceae.